RNAcentral lists this small RNA (364 nucleotides) under Bacillus thuringiensis serovar israelensis. RNAcentral's name for it is "cspA". It matches the Rfam family "cspA thermoregulator", at positions 83 to 428 of the family's 428-position model. Lineage: Bacteria; Bacillati; Bacillota; Bacilli; Caryophanales; Bacillaceae. The record is from RNAcentral.
AACUUCCGAGGAGGAUAGCAAUGUUAAAUCUCCUCAGGGGUUGCAGUUUUUUAAUAUCUGGCUUAUUAUUGUAAGGUGGUUGAAAAUGAAUAUGUACAUAUAGGUACAUUGUAGGAGGAUUUUUUUCAUGCAAAACGGUAAAGUAAAAUGGUUUAACUCAGAAAAAGGUUUCGGUUUCAUCGAAGUUGAAGGCGGAGAAGACGUAUUCGUUCAUUUCUCAGCUAUCCAAGGCGAAGGCUUCAAAACUUUAGAAGAAGGUCAAGAAGUUACUUUCGAAGUAGAACAAGGUAACCGUGGACCUCAAGCUACUAACGUAAACAAGAAGUAAUUUUUGAAAAAAGAAGGGCGAGCCCUUCUUUUUUUU